GUAGGACCAGCUGUUGCCAGGCCCUCAGAGACACAGUGUUCCAUUGUGGAGUCAGCCACGCAUAAUGGGCCCUUUGAAUUGCUGCAAGUGCUUUCCAGCUGGGCUGCUCGAAUCCAGGAGUCAGGCCUGGCCCUGGGGGGGCGGUGGGGGGGGGGAGGGGAGGGCAGGUUUGACUUUCUAAAUGGGCUUUGUUCACCCAAUGGAAGAGAAAACUCCAGAGCUUGCUCAGCAGCCUGGGCACUGGGCUGCCAGCGUGGGCGGGGCCCCUUGGGGGAGCCAGGGACUGAGCAGCCCCUUUGGGUGGCUUCAUGGUCCUCACUGGCAUAGAGACAAAGCCAGGACAAUCUCCAGUCACUACAGCACACAGUACAGCGCAUCCCACCGUGAUCAGGUGCCCUCUGACCAGGCGUGCCCCAGAAAGUACGGGGUGAUCCUGGGGUAUCGAGAUGCUGAAAGGGAAAAGGAAGCCCCGAAAAAUCACACCGCUGACCCCAGAUCUUCAGAGGCAUUGACCUGGCCACGGUCAUGGGGAGAAUCGGCAGGUCUCCUGCGUCAUCUGUAGCUCUGUCCACUGACCACUUGGACACCUGUGCCCAGGAGCUAGCGACCAGACCGUCCCUGAAGGGGCAGCAGCAACAGCAGGAAACACGGCUUCCUGUGGACAUGCUGAUGACCCGAUGUCAGAGGCCGAGCUCAGAUGCUGCGUGGUACACAUUACCUCCAGCAGCUCAUUUAGUUUUUAAAUUAAAAACCUACAUUUGGUACUCCAAGCUAAUAUAAUGUUAUUUGUCAAUUAUAUCUUAAUCAAAAAACAACCUAUGAUAGCUGUGCUUUUAUCAGUAUUUUUUCCAUGUAAAGUUGUGGAAAGGAAAGCUUACAGGAUGAUUUACCUGAAGUUACCAGUUUUAAAAGUCACAAGCAGUGUAGUUGCAGAAUCUGUUCACCCAACCAUUGCACCGCACUGCCUUGCUACCGGGGAGCGUGUGGGGCCACCCGCUCUCAUUCAGAGUUUGGAGA
This 1017-nucleotide long non-coding RNA is filed under the name Equus caballus (horse). RNAcentral describes it as "lncRNA (ENSECAG00000031744.2)". The record is from RNAcentral. Lineage: Eukaryota; Metazoa; Chordata; Mammalia; Perissodactyla; Equidae.